GAUGAACGCUGACAGAAUGCUUAACACAUGCAAGUCGAUGGGGAAGUGGUGCUUGCACCCUGGCAACCAUGGCGGACGGGUGAGUAACGCGUAAGGGACUUACCUGCAGGACUGGGAUAACAGGGGGAAACUCCUGACAAGACCGGAUAAUGUCGUGGAGCUGCAUGGCUUUAUGAUGAAAGGAGACGCCUGCGGAGAGCCUUGCGUCCUAUUAGCUAGUUGGUGAGGUAAUGGCUCACCAAGGCGAAGAUAGGUAGCCGGCCUGAGAGGGUGGACGGCCACAAGGGGACUGAGAUACGGCCCUUACUCCUACGGGAGGCAGCAGUGGGGAAUAUUGGACAAUGGGGGCAACCCUGAUCCAGCAAUUCUGUGUGCACGAAGAAGGUUUUCGGAUUGUAAAGUGCUUUCAGCAGGGAAGAAGUAAGUGACGGUACCUGCAGAAGAAGCGACGGCUAAAUACGUG
Molecule: ribosomal RNA, 463 nt
Filed under: uncultured bacterium
Lineage: Bacteria
Description: partial 16S ribosomal RNA
Rfam family: Bacterial small subunit ribosomal RNA
Source: RNAcentral